CAACCUACCUAUCAGAGGGGAAUAACCCGGCGAAAGUCGGACUAAUACCGCAUAAAACAGGGGCACCGCAUGGUGAUAUUUGUUAAAGAAAUUCGCUGAUAGAUGGGCAUGCGCUCCAUUAGGUAGUUGGUGAGGUAACGGCUCACCAAGCCGACGAUGGAUAGGGGAACUGAGAGGUUGGUCCCCCACACUGGUACUGAGACACGGACCAGACUCCUACGGGAGGCAGCAGUGAGGAAUAUUGGUCAAUGGGCGGGAGCCUGAACCAGCCAAGUCGCGUGAAGGAAGAAGGAUCUAUGGUUCGUAAACUUCUUUUGCAGGGGAAUAAAGUGCAGGACGUGUCCUGUUUUGUAUGUACCCUGGGAAUAAGGAUCGGCUAACUCCGUGCCAGCAGCCGCGGUAAUACGGAGGAUCCGAGCGUUAUCCGGAUUUAUUGGGUUUAAAGGGUGCGUAGGUGGUUUGAUAAGUCAGCGGUGAAAGUUUGCAGCUUAACUGUAAAAAUGCCGUUGAAACUGUCGGACUUGAGUGUAAAUGAGGUAGGCGGAAUGCGUGGUGUAGCGGUGAAAUGCAUAGAUAUCACGAAGAACUCCGAUUG
This 595-nucleotide ribosomal RNA is filed under the name uncultured Bacteroidota bacterium. RNAcentral describes it as "bacterial SSU rRNA". It matches the Rfam family "Bacterial small subunit ribosomal RNA", at positions 122 to 715 of the family's 1533-position model. The record is from RNAcentral. Lineage: Bacteria; Pseudomonadati; Bacteroidota.